UUUGCAUCAACUGAAAAACAUCAACACGAGGUUGAAAAAAAAAACAUUCUCCAGCGUUUGUCUGUUACGAGGUUCAUCAGAGGACAAACAUAUAUACUGUAAAGGAGAAAGAGGUAACCUGAAGGUUCGAAAGUAAUGGAUAGUUUUCAAUGAAGUAAUCACCCCAAACAGUAGGGUGGUAGUUUGCAAGGCAGCGAAUGGCUCCAUCGCCAUUGCAUAGUACUGAAGAAUGCUGUGUAGAUCCGUGGGCUUCCAUCGCCACGCUGCUCGAUUUAUGGAAUAGAACUAGUAAGUGAAGAUCUUGGACAAAG
RNAcentral lists this long non-coding RNA (311 nucleotides) under Phoenix dactylifera (date palm). RNAcentral's name for it is "long non-coding RNA (PDAC_LNC018116)". Lineage: Eukaryota; Viridiplantae; Streptophyta; Magnoliopsida; Arecales; Arecaceae. The record is from RNAcentral.